GAUGAACGCUGACAGAAUGCUUAACACAUGCAAGUCGAUGGGGAAGUGGUGCUUGCCUCAUGGCAACCAUGGCGGACGGGUGAGUAACGCGUAAGGGACUUACCUGCAGGACUGGGAUAACAGGGGGCAAAUCCUGACAAGACCGGAUAAUGUCAUGGAGCUGCAUGGCUUUAUGAUGAAAGGAGACGCCUGCGGAGAGCCUUGCGUCCUAUUAGCUAGUUGGUGAGGUAAUGGCUCACCAAGGCGAAGAUAGGUAGCCGGCCUGAGAGGGUGGACGGCCACAAGGGGACUGAGAUACGGCCCUUACUCCUACGGGAGGCAGCAGUGGAGAAUAUUGGACAAUGGGGGCAACCCUGAUCCAGCAAUUCUGUGUGCACGAAGAAGGUUUUCGGAUUGUAAAGUGCUUUCAGCAGGGAAGAAGUAAGUGACGGUACCUGCAGAAGAAGCGACGGCUAAAUACGUG
This 463-nucleotide ribosomal RNA is filed under the name uncultured bacterium. RNAcentral describes it as "partial 16S ribosomal RNA". It matches the Rfam family "Bacterial small subunit ribosomal RNA", at positions 28 to 507 of the family's 1533-position model. The record is from RNAcentral.